Molecule: ribosomal RNA, 279 nt
Filed under: uncultured bacterium
Lineage: Bacteria
Description: partial 16S ribosomal RNA
Rfam family: Bacterial small subunit ribosomal RNA
Source: RNAcentral
UGGAGCCUACGGGGGGCAGCAGUGGGGGAUAUUGCACAAUGGGGGGAACCCUGAUGCAGCGACGCCGCGUGGGUGAAGAAGCCCCUCGGCGCGUAAAGCCCUGUCGGCAGGGAAGAAAAUGCCGGUACUUGAAGAAGAAGCCCCGGCUAACUACGUGCCAGCAGCCGCGGUAAUACGUAGGGGGCAGGCGUUAUCCGGCUUUCCUGGGUGUAAAGGGGGCGCAGACGGCGAUGCAAGCCAGGAGGGAACGCCCGGGGCCAAACCCCGGGACUGCUCUUG